Molecule: ribosomal RNA, 475 nt
Filed under: uncultured bacterium
Lineage: Bacteria
Description: partial 16S ribosomal RNA
Rfam family: Bacterial small subunit ribosomal RNA
Source: RNAcentral
GGUGAACGCUGGCGGCGUGCUUAAGACAUGCAAGUCGAACGCAGUCUUCGGACUGAGUGGCGCACGGGUGAGUAACACGUAACUGACCUACCCCCAAGUCGCGGAUAACUGGCCGAAAGGUCAGCUAAUACGUGAUGUGAUGUCCCCUUUCUGGGGGGCCAUUAAAGGUUUACUGCUUGGGGAUGGGGUUGCGUUCCAUCAGCUAGUUGGCGGGGUAAAGGCCCACCAAGGCAACGACGGAUAGCCGGCCGGAGAUGGUGGCCGGCAACAGGGGCACUGGGACACGGGUCCCACGCCGACGGGAGGCAGCAGUUAGGAAUCUUCCACAAUGGGCGAAAGCCUGAUGGGGCGACGCCGCGUGAGGGAUGAAGGUUCUCGGAUCGUAAACCUCUGAAUCAGGGACGAAAGACGCGUAAGCGGGAUGACGGUACCUGAGUAAUAGCACCGGCUAACUCCGUGCCAGCCGCCGCCGUAA